RNAcentral lists this non-coding RNA (103 nucleotides) under Pedobacter nutrimenti. The record is from RNAcentral. Lineage: Bacteria; Pseudomonadati; Bacteroidota; Sphingobacteriia; Sphingobacteriales; Sphingobacteriaceae.
CUAUUCCAGUGAUGGAGAUAGUGCAUCUACAGGAGUCAGCAGAGGUCAUAGUAUGCCAGCGACGAGCCCUAAAACAGGGACGGUCUCACAAAAGCAGAAGGAC